This 255-nucleotide ribosomal RNA is filed under the name uncultured bacterium. RNAcentral describes it as "partial 16S ribosomal RNA". It matches the Rfam family "Bacterial small subunit ribosomal RNA", at positions 524 to 776 of the family's 1533-position model. The record is from RNAcentral.
CACGUAGGGUGCGAGCGUUGUCCGGAAUUAUUGGGCGUAAAGAGCUCGUAGGCGGUGUGUCGCGUCGGCCGUGAAAACCUGCAGCUUAACUGUGGGCGUGCGGUCGAUACGGGCAUCACUGGAGUUCGGCAGGGGAGACUGGAAUUCCCGGUGUAGUGGUGGAAUGCGUAGAUAUCGGGAGGAACACCAGUGGCGAAGGCGGCUUCCUGGACCUGAUCUGACGCUGGAGGAGCGAAAGCGUGGGGAGCGAUCCGG